GUUCCCGGUGAUGCCUUUUUAAACCAUGCUAAUGCUGAUAUCAGAUGAUUUAUGCUUUUAGUUUAUACUGAGGGAACC
Neltuma alba is the source of this 78-nucleotide small nucleolar RNA. RefSeq annotates it as small nucleolar RNA snoR53Y. The transcript has a single exon. The record is from RefSeq and is a predicted model, not a curated record. NCBI's taxonomy places the organism in Eukaryota, Viridiplantae, Streptophyta, Magnoliopsida, Fabales, Fabaceae.